GUCCAGCCCUGAUGGAAGUGGCAUCCUUUUUUUGUUGGCUGAGGCUCUCGAAGCCAACAAAAAAAGAUACAGCGUACAGCAGGAAUUGCG
Molecule: small RNA, 90 nt
Filed under: Flavobacterium cauense R2A-7
Lineage: Bacteria; Pseudomonadati; Bacteroidota; Flavobacteriia; Flavobacteriales; Flavobacteriaceae
Description: Flavo-1 RNA
Rfam family: Flavo-1 RNA
Source: RNAcentral